CCUACGGGGGGCAGCAGUGGGGAAUAUUGGGCAAUGGAGGCAACUCUGACCCAGCAACGCCGCGUGAAUGAUGAAGGGCUUCGGAUUGUAAAGUUCUGUGAUGGGGGAUGAACACAAUGACGGUACCCCAAUAGCAAGCCACGGCUAACUACGUGCCAGCCGCCGCGGUAAUACGUAGGUGGCAAGCGUUAUCCGGAAUGACUGGGCGUAAAGGGUGCGUAGGUGGUUUAGUAAGUUGGCGGUGUAAUUCCGGGGCUCAACCUCGGCGCUACCGCCAAAACUAGUAGACUAGAGUGCAGGGGGGGUAAGUGGAAUUCCUAGUGUAGCGGUGGAAUGCGUAGAUAUUAGGAGGAACACCAGUGGCGAAGGCGACUUACUGGACUGUAACUGACGCUGAGGCACGAAAGCGUGGGGAGCAAACAGGAUUAGAUAACCGUGUAGUC
RNAcentral lists this ribosomal RNA (443 nucleotides) under uncultured bacterium. Its description in RNAcentral is "partial 16S ribosomal RNA". It matches the Rfam family "Bacterial small subunit ribosomal RNA", at positions 338 to 795 of the family's 1533-position model. The record is from RNAcentral.